Molecule: long non-coding RNA, 2415 nt
Organism: Oncorhynchus tshawytscha (Chinook salmon)
Lineage: Eukaryota; Metazoa; Chordata; Actinopteri; Salmoniformes; Salmonidae
Source: Ensembl
GGAGAGGUAGCAUUAGCAGUAGUAUUAGCCGUAGCAUUAGCCGUAGCUUUAGCAGGCAGGUUGUUUUUGGUCUUGAUGACAUUGCUGCAGUAGCGUGCCCACUUCCGUGCUGGCUGAGGGAGAACAUAAUAGGCAGGGGGUCUGAGGAAGAAGUUGGCCCAUGGGUACCAACCACCAAUAGUAGUACCUGCUGUGCUGGUUUCAAUGGCAACCCCGGUGUCAGUAGCAGUCCAGGCGGAGUAGCUGGCUGGGUCAAGUGAUGGCUGGGUCAAGGCCAAAUAGCUGGGGUUGGCUGGAGAUGGUGUGGUAGAGUAGAGGCUUCCUGGGGGCAUAACAGUCCCAGUAGAGCCGAGUCCAGUCCCAGACCUAGGGUAAGCCUGUCCACGGCAGUCCAUGUCUGAGUAGCCCAUCUCUGGGUAGAGCAGAACUCCAGGGUAGCCAGGUCCACUUCCAGAAGAGACAGCUCCAGGGUAGGAAGUACCAGCUAGACCUGUUGUAACAUAGCCUGCCCCUGGGUAGCCUGUUCCCCAGUUGCCCCCAGACCACCUUGCCUGUGGCUGUGACUGUGUGUUACUGGGGCUGGGGAUAGGGUUAAUGGGGGAGUUGGAAGUGAACUGACUAACACUGACAACUCCAGCGUAACCUGAACCAGGGUAGGUGUAACCAGGGUAGGUGUAACCAGCGUAGGUGUAACCAGGGUAGGUGUAACCAGGUAGAAUCUCUGGGGGCUGUGGGUCAGUGGGGUUAGGGCUAGAAGAAACGGUAACCCCUCCAGUGUAACCCCCCUGGGCUAGUGUGGCAUUGGUAGUGGGGGUAUAACUCUGGAAGUUGGGGUUAGAGUUGGAGUUAGGGUUCUGGAAGUUGGGGUUAGAGUUAGGGUUCUGGAAGUUGGGGUUAGGUUUGGAGUUAGGGUUCUGGAAGUUGUGGUUAGGUUUGGAGUCAGGGUUCUGGAAGUUGUGGUUAGGUUUGGAGUCAGGGUUCUGGAAGUUUGGGUUAGGUUUGAAGUUGGGGUUAGGUUUGGAGUUGGGAGUGAACUGUCGGCUCUCGUAGUUCCAGGGGUCUCUGUCCUCGGGUUCCUGUAGGGAUAGCUUCCUUUUUAGCGGGUUGGGUAAUGCCGCCACUAUGGCGAUGGCAUGACCUUUUGAGUCACCCCUCAUCUUCUCCCCUCCAGGGUUAGGGCCUGUUGCCCUGGUAUGAGCCUCAGCGCUCUCUGCACUCUCUGGGGUGGUUAGGGCAGGAGGAAAGUGGGGGGAGCGCAACAAAGAGACAAAGUAUUCCACAAAUUGAUCACAGUCUACAAUGGAAGUCUUCUUCUUAACCCCAGAGGCGUAGACAGGACCUGGCUGGGGUGGAGGUGGAGGAGUGAGGCAGGGAGGGAUUGCCGGGGGUUGGGGGGUCAUGGGUCCGGGUGGGGGGUCAUGGGUCCGAGUGGGGGGUCAUGGGUCCGGUUCUUUCUGGGUGCAGGUGGGGGUAAGAGGUGUUGUUGGGAGGGUUGGCCUGGGUCUGGAGAGGUCUGACUGCUGAGGUUGGGUUGGGAGGUCUCUUGGUUGGUUGGCUGGACUGUUUGGGUAGUUGUUUGUUGACUAGGCAGGAAGGUUGGCUGGGUUUGACCUGGCUUAGGCUCGCCGCAGAAGUGGCUCUGGUGGGGGAGAAUGCAGCGGGGAGUAGGGGGAGAGCAGGGGGCUCAGAGGGACUAGCUCUGGGGGAGGCUUUGGAGGAACGGCUGGAGCUACGAUUAUGUCUCUUAGAGCUGGUGUGACAGCGUGAGUGGUCAGAAUGUCUGUUAGUGUGUUUGCGGUCACUGUGUCUGCGUUUGGUCUUGUCACUGUGUCCGUCUUUGGCUUUGUCAGUGCGUGUGAGGUCACUGUGUUUGCGAGUGUGUGUGCGGUUUCUGUGUGUGCGUUCACUGUGUGUGCGAGUAGGUUUAGCCUUUUCAGUAUGUUUCUGAGACUCAUUCUUGUCCGAAUGUUUGUCAGUGAGCUUCUGGCUAUUGGACAGUGUGUGUGUGGGUUUGCACAGUGUGUGAGUGGCUUUCUUGCUAGAGGACUCUUUGGCAACAGUCAGGCUGUCGGCAGGGAUACCGGAGGGCUUGGUGGCAGAAUGGGGAAUGAGUUUGGGUCUAGUAUAUUCUGGGGCUGUUGAACUGGGUUUGGGGUGUGUGCGUGAAGGUUUAAGUUUAGUUUGAGAGUCAGAGUGUGUGUAUGUGAGUUUCGGCUUAGUGUUGGAUUGUGUGGGUGAGGGUGUGAUGAUGUGUGUCUGGUUGACAGUGUGUGUUUCAGAAGACUUGAUGACUUCAGGAGAUGAUAGACAGAUGACAGGGGCAGUGUGACCCUCAGGGGGGCUGGACACCUUUCUCUUCUUCACCUGCUGCUGACCCCUCACCUCUGACCCCUCAACGUUAGAACAACGUUUUCC